Molecule: ribosomal RNA, 460 nt
Filed under: uncultured bacterium
Lineage: Bacteria
Description: partial 16S ribosomal RNA
Rfam family: Bacterial small subunit ribosomal RNA
Source: RNAcentral
CCUACGGGGCGCAGCAGUGAGGAAUAUUGGUCAAUGGGAGGAAUCCUGAACCAGCCAUGCCGCGUGCAGGACGACGGCUCUACGAGUUGUAAACUGCUUUUGUACCGGGGUAAAAUGCCUUACGAGUAGGGUUUUGAAAGUACGGUACGAAUAAGGAUCGGCUAACUCCGUGCCAGCAGCCGCGGGAAUACGGAGGAUCCGAGCGUUAUCCGGAUUUAUUGGGUUUAAAGGGUGCGUAGGUUGUUUUAUAAGUUAGCGGUGAAAUACCGAUGCUCAACAUCGGGGCUGCCGCUAAUACUGUAGGACUAGAGAUCGGAUGCAGCAGGCGGAAUGUGUAGUGUAGCGGUGAAAUGCAUAGAUAUUACACAGAACACCGAUUGCGAAGGCAGCUUGCUAGGCCGGAUCUGACACUGAUGCACGAAAGCGUGGGGAUCGAACAGGAUUAGAUACCCGUGUAGUC